Molecule: transfer RNA, 62 nt
Filed under: Haemaphysalis punctata
Lineage: Eukaryota; Metazoa; Arthropoda; Arachnida; Ixodida; Ixodidae
Description: tRNA-Leu
Source: RNAcentral
UCCAAUUUGGCAGAAAUUAAAUGUGAUAAAUUUAGAAUUUAUUUAUGAUUAUUCAAUUGGAA